RNAcentral lists this ribosomal RNA (487 nucleotides) under uncultured bacterium. RNAcentral describes it as "partial 16S ribosomal RNA". It matches the Rfam family "Bacterial small subunit ribosomal RNA", at positions 28 to 507 of the family's 1533-position model. The record is from RNAcentral.
GAUGAACGCUAGCGAUAGGCUUAACACAUGCAAGUCGAGGGGCAGCACAAGGUAGCUUGCUAUCUGGGUGGCGACCGGCGCACGGGUGCGUAACGCGUAUGCAACUUGCCCUAUACAGGAGGAUAACCCGUCGAAAGACGGACUAAUACUGCGUAUGCUCACAACUUGGCAUCAAGUGGUGAGGAAAGAAAUUCGGUAUAGGAUAGGCAUGCGUCCCAUUAGCUUGUUGGUGAGGUAACGGCUCACCAAGGCAACGAUGGGUAGGGGAACUGAGAGGUUUAUCCCCCACACUGGUACUGAGACACGGACCAGACUCCUACGGGAGGCAGCAGUGAGGAAUAUUGGUCAAUGGGCGCGAGCCUGAACCAGCCAAGUCGCGUGAAGGAUGACUGUCUUAUGGAUUGUAAACUUCUCUUAUACGGGAAUAACAAGAGUCACGUGUGACUCCCUGCAUGUACCGUAUGAAUAAGCAUCGGCUAACUCCGUG